This 1727-nucleotide ribosomal RNA is filed under the name Salmonella enterica. RNAcentral's name for it is "partial 23S ribosomal RNA". It matches the Rfam family "Bacterial large subunit ribosomal RNA", at positions 711 to 2334 of the family's 2925-position model. Lineage: Bacteria; Pseudomonadati; Pseudomonadota; Gammaproteobacteria; Enterobacterales; Enterobacteriaceae. The record is from RNAcentral.
AGACCCGAAACCCGGUGAUCUAGCCAUGGGCAGGUUGAAGGUUGGGUAACACUAACUGGAGGACCGAACCGACUAAUGUUGAAAAAUUAGCGGAUGACCUGUGGCUGGGGGUGAAAGGCCAAUCAAACCGGGAGAUAGCUGGUUCUCCCCGAAAGCUAUUUAGGUAGCGCCUCGUGAAUUCAUCUCCGGGGGUAGAGCACUGUUUCGGCUAGGGGGCCAUCCCGGCUUACCAACCCGAUGCAAACUGCGAAUACCGGAGAAUGUUAUCACGGGAGACACACGGCGGGUGCUAACGUCCGUCGUGAAGAGGGAAACAACCCAGACCGCCAGCUAAGGUCCCAAAGUCAUGGUUAAGUGGGAAACGAUGUGGGAAGGCCCAGACAGCCAGGAUGUUGGCUUAGAAGCAGCCAUCAUUUAAAGAAAGCGUAAUAGCUCACUGGUCGAGUCGGCCUGCGCGGAAGAUGUAACGGGGCUAAACCAUGCACCGAAGCUGCGGCAGCGAACGUAUCACCCAAGACAACUUUACGGAGUUGACGAUUGACGGAGCGAAGCGACGUCAAAGCGUUCAUUAAAGUCGAGUUGGCUUAGGGAUACGUUCGUUGGGUAGGGGAGCGUUCUGUAAGCCUGUGAAGGUGUGUCGUGAGGCAUGCUGGAGGUAUCAGAAGUGCGAAUGCUGACAUAAGUAACGAUAAAGCGGGUGAAAAGCCCGCUCGCCGGAAGACCAAGGGUUCCUGUCCAACGUUAAUCGGGGCAGGGUGAGUCGACCCCUAAGGCGAGGCCGAAAGGCGUAGUCGAUGGGAAACGGGUUAAUAUUCCCGUACUUGGUGUUACUGCGAAGGGGGGACGGAGAAGGCUAUGUUGGCCGGGCGACGGUUGUCCCGGUUUAAGCGUGUAGGUGUGUGUUCCAGGUAAAUCCGGUUCACUUUAACACUGAGGCGUGACGACGAGGCACUACGGUGCUGAAGCAACAAAUGCCCUGCUUCCAGGAAAAGCCUCUAAGCAUCAGGUAACACGAAAUCGUACCCCAAACCGACACAGGUGGUCAGGUAGAGAAUACCAAGGCGCUUGAGAGAACUCGGGUGAAGGAACUAGGCAAAAUGGUGCCGUAACUUCGGGAGAAGGCACGCUGACACGUAGGUGAAGUGAUUUACUCAUGGAGCUGAAGUCAGUCGAAGAUACCAGCUGGCUGCAACUGUUUAUUAAAAACACAGCACUGUGCAAACACGAAAGUGGACGUAUACGGUGUGACGCCUGCCCGGUGCCGGAAGGUUAAUUGAUGGGGUCAGCGUAAGCGAAGCUCCUGAUCGAAGCCCCGGUAAACGGCGGCCGUAACUAUAACGGUCCUAAGGUAGCGAAAUUCCUUGUCGGGUAAGUUCCGACCUGCACGAAUGGCGUAAUGAUGGCCAGGCUGUCUCCACCCGAGACUCAGUGAAAUUGAACUCGCUGUGAAGAUGCAGUGUACCCGCGGCAAGACGGAAAGACCCCGUGAACCUUUACUAUAGCUUGACACUGAACAUUGAGCCUUGAUGUGUAGGAUAGGUGGGAGGCUUUGAAGUGUGGACGCCAGUCUGCAUGGAGCCGACCUUGAAAUACCACCCUUUAAUGUUUGAUGUUCUAACGUGGACCCGUAAUCCGGGUUGCGGACAGUGUCUGGUGGGUAGUUUGACUGGGGCGGUCUCCUCCUAAAGAGUAACGGAGGAGCACGAAGGUUGGCUAAUCCUGGUCGG